RNAcentral lists this transfer RNA (540 nucleotides) under uncultured Prochlorococcus sp. RNAcentral describes it as "partial 16S-23S ribosomal RNA intergenic spacer". The stretch from base 212 to 284 matches the Rfam family "tRNA". The record is from RNAcentral. Lineage: Bacteria; Bacillati; Cyanobacteriota; Cyanophyceae; Synechococcales; Prochlorococcaceae.
CAGGGAGACAACAAAAUGUUUAAUAUUAUUAUUUUGUCACCUUAGGUCGAUCGGUAUCUCACGUUUUUAAUUUAUUAAGAAUUUCAUUUCCUAAGUUUUUCUAGGUCACACCCAUUAUUUUUCCUGGGCCAUUAGCUCAGGUGGUUAGAGCGCACCCCUGAUAAGGGUGAGGUCCCUGGUUCAAGUCCAGGAUGGCCCAUAUCUCUAUGUUGGGGGUAUAGCUCAGUUGGUAGAGCGCCUGCUUUGCAAGCAGGAUGUCAGCGGUUCGAGUCCGCUUACCUCCACUGAUUACCACCUCUUCCAUAACCGGUAGAAAGGAAAUGUUUUGAGUUGUGAUCAAAUUCUGAAAGAAUCUAGCUUCCUAAUGAAUUCAUUAAGAUGCUGGACUCAUUGAAUUAAUUUCAUUGUUUUCAGAGAACCUUGACAACUGCAUAGAUUAUUUUAAAGACAAUAAGCAUCUUUAAUGAUGCAGAUUUAUUAUUUGUGCGAAUGCAUUAAUAACAAUUCUAUUAAGCUGAUGCUUCAAUUUUUGAAGUUAUU